CCUACGGGAGGCAGCAGUGGGGGAUAUUGCGCAAUGGGGGAAACCCUGAUGCAGCGACGCCGCGUGGGUGAAGAAGCGCCUCGGCGCGUAAAGCCCUGUCAGCAGGGAAGAAAAUGACGGUACCUGAAGACGAAGCCCCGGCUAACUACGUGCCAGCAGCCGCGGUAAUACGUAGGGGGCAAGCGUUAUCCGGAUUUACUGGGUGUAAAGGGGGCGCAGACGGGGAUGCAAGCCAGGAGUGAAAGCCCGGGGCCCAACCCCGGGACUGCGCUUGGAACUGCGUGGCUAGAGUGCAGGAGGGGCAGGUGGAAUUCCUGGUGUAGCGGUGAAAUGCGUAGAUAUCAGGAGGAACACCGGUGGCGAAGGCGGCCCGCUGGACUGCAACUGACGUUGAGGUCCGAAAGCGUGGGGAGCAAACAGGAUUAGAUACCCCAGUAGUC
This 440-nucleotide ribosomal RNA is filed under the name uncultured bacterium. RNAcentral describes it as "partial 16S ribosomal RNA". It matches the Rfam family "Bacterial small subunit ribosomal RNA", at positions 338 to 795 of the family's 1533-position model. The record is from RNAcentral.